Molecule: ribosomal RNA, 465 nt
Filed under: uncultured bacterium
Lineage: Bacteria
Description: partial 16S ribosomal RNA
Rfam family: Bacterial small subunit ribosomal RNA
Source: RNAcentral
CCUACGGGGGGCAGCAGUGGGGAAUAUUGCGCAAUGGGCGAAAGCCUGACGCAGCGACGCCGCGUGAGGGAUGAAGGUCUUCGGAUCGUAAACCUCUGUUAGCAGGGAAGAACGGUCACUGUGCUAAUCAGCAGUGAAUUGACGGUACCUGCAAAGGACGCACCGGCUAACUCCGUGCCAGCAGCCGCGGUAAUACGGAGGGUGCGAGCGUUAAUCGGAAUUACUGGGCGUAAAGCGCUCGUAGGCGGUAUGUCAAGUCAAGGGUGAAAUCCCCGCGCUCAACGUGGGAACUGCCUUUGAAACUGGCAAACUGGAGUGUGUGAGAGGAUAGUGGAAUUCCAGGUGUAGGAGUGAAAUGCGUAGAUAUCGGGAAGAACAUCAGUGGCGAAGGCGACUAUCUGGCACAUAACUGACGCUGAGGAGCGAAAGCGUGGGUAGCAAACAGGAUUAGAUACCCUGGUAGUC